Long non-coding RNA from Salvia miltiorrhiza (redroot sage), 662 nucleotides. RefSeq lists it as uncharacterized. The transcript has 3 exons. Lineage: Eukaryota; Viridiplantae; Streptophyta; Magnoliopsida; Lamiales; Lamiaceae. The record is from RefSeq and is a predicted model, not a curated record.
CCUAAUUUUCGAGCUCUCUCUCCCUCCCUUCAUCUCUCUACUUUCCUCCAUUGUUAGCCAUUGAUGAAACCUUCGAAGCUUCACCCAAGUAUGCCAAACACAUAAAUCACUACUUAAAUCCUCCAUAAACACCUCUUAUCAACUUAAAUCCAAGAGAAUCCUUGAAGAUUGGUUUCAAGAAUAGUGAGAGAAAAUUUGGAUAAUUGGUGAAAACUUGGACACGAGCAGAGCAGGGAAGUAAGUAACUCCGCUUUGACGGGAGUUUUUGAGUAAGGUCUUCAGGCUAAGCGAGGAGUGAGAUUGGUCUGGUGCUGGUGGGGGAUCGUUGGAUGACGUAUUUACUUUAUCGUAUUUUCCUUUUUUAUCGAUAAAGUCUUGAUGUGAAGUUACCUUAAAUAUGAAUCAAGUAAUAUACUCACGGUUAUGUGUCUCCAUACAUGUAAUCGGUUCGCCUUUUGCUGCGAUACUCUGCAUAUUAUUUUUCCUUACGAAAAAUAAGCUAUACCUGUUUUGUUUUUGUUCGUGAAAUUCCUGAUAAUUAAAAAGUUACAACAACGUUGACGAUUUUACCCUUGGGUUCAAUUAAUAAUAUUUUCCUUAGCAUGCUUUGAUGUGAGCUUCCGCUUGAUGUUCGACCUACUCUUCUAUUCCUUUAUUCUUUA